AGAUCAUAUCUAAAUAUUUUAUAAUUUUAAAUUUUAUUUUUAUAAUUAAAAUAAUUUUAAUUAUAUAUAUUAGAUGAUCUACUUUUCAUACAACUCAUAUUUUAUAUCACAUACAAUAAAUCCUAGAGUUUCAACAUCUAGGGUUUUGCAGAAAAAUAAAUUUUCUCCUUUUGCUUUCUUCUUCAUAGGACCUCACAGUGGCACCCCUAU
Molecule: long non-coding RNA, 210 nt
Filed under: Elaeis guineensis (African oil palm)
Lineage: Eukaryota; Viridiplantae; Streptophyta; Magnoliopsida; Arecales; Arecaceae
Description: long non-coding RNA (EGUI_LNC043446)
Source: RNAcentral